RNAcentral lists this long non-coding RNA (201 nucleotides) under Elaeis guineensis (African oil palm). RNAcentral describes it as "long non-coding RNA (EGUI_LNC069599)". Lineage: Eukaryota; Viridiplantae; Streptophyta; Magnoliopsida; Arecales; Arecaceae. The record is from RNAcentral.
GUCUGAAAAAUACUUAUACUCAUAUGUUUCACGAGCAACUCUUGACAGCAGAACACUCAGCAGGUGAGUCACCUGUUUAGUGACGAUGCACCCCUACAUCUCACCUAUAUGCCAUACAAGUGUCACCACACUCUUUGAUUAAGAGAACAACCAAUCUAUAUGGCACACAAUGACCUCCACUCAAUAAACAUCAUCAUCUCG